Molecule: ribosomal RNA, 768 nt
Filed under: uncultured bacterium
Lineage: Bacteria
Description: bacterial SSU rRNA
Rfam family: Bacterial small subunit ribosomal RNA
Source: RNAcentral
UGCAAGUCGAACGGUAACAGCGGGUGCUUGCACCCGGCUGACGAGUGGCGGACGGGUGAGUAACGCGUAGGAAUCUACCCAGUAGAGGGGGAUAGCCCGGGGAAACCUGGAUUAAUACCGCAUACAUCCUCAGGGGAAAAGGUGGCCAAUUCUUGAAAGCUGCCGCUAUUGGAUGAGCCUGCGCCAGAUUAGCUUGUUGGUGGGGUAAUAGCCCACCAAGGCGACGAUCUGUAGCUGGUCUGAGAGGACGAUCAGCCACAUUGGGACUGAGACACGGCCCAAACUCCUACGGGAGGCAGCAGUGGGGAAUAUUGCGCAAUGGGCGAAAGCCUGACGCAGCUAUGCCGCGUGUGUGAAGAAGGCUCUAGGGUUGUAAAGCACUUCCAGAAGUGAGGAAAGGUACUCGGUUAAUAGCCGAAUACUUUGACGUUAGCUUCAGAAGAAGCACCGGCUAACUCCGCGCCAGCAGCCGCGGUAAUACGGAGGGUGCAAACGUUAAUCGGAAUUACUGGGCGUAAAGCGCUCGCAGGUGGUAUCUUAAGUGGGAUGUGAAAGCCCCGGGCUCAACCUGGGAACUGCAUCUCAAACUGGAAUACUGGAGUGUGGUAGAGGGAGGCGGAAUUUCACAUGUAGCGGUGGAAUGCGUAGAUAUGUGAAGGAACACCGGUGGCGAAGGCGGCCUCCUGGACCAAUACUGACACUGAGGAGCGAAAGCGUGGGGAGCAAACAGGCUUAGAUACCCUGGUAGUCCACGCCGUAAACGAUGAG